CCCGGAACGAAAGUACCCCUGGGUAAACACGGGAGUGACCUUCGGGAGGCUCGGAGACAGGUGCUGCAUGGCUGUCGUCAGCUCGUGUCGUGAGAUGUUGGGUUAAGUCCCGCAACGAGCGCAACCCUUAGUCUUUAGUUGCCAUCAUUGAGUUGGGCACUCUAAAGAGACUGCCGGGUGGUCAAACCGGAGGAAGGUGGGGAUGACGUCAAGUCCUCAUGGCCUUUAUGACCAGGGCUACACACGUACUACAAUGGCCGGUACAAAGGGCAGCGACACAGCGAUGUGAAAGCGAAAUCCCGAAAAGCCGGUCUCAGUCCGGAUUGGAGUCUGCAACUCGACUCCAUGAAGUUGGAAUCGCUAGUAAUCGCGGAUCAGCACGCCCGCGGUCCGAAUACGUUCCGGGCCUU
Molecule: ribosomal RNA, 410 nt
Filed under: uncultured Desulfocapsa sp.
Lineage: Bacteria; Pseudomonadati; Thermodesulfobacteriota; Desulfobulbia; Desulfobulbales; Desulfocapsaceae
Description: bacterial SSU rRNA
Rfam family: Bacterial small subunit ribosomal RNA
Source: RNAcentral